Molecule: long non-coding RNA, 609 nt
Filed under: Gallus gallus (chicken)
Lineage: Eukaryota; Metazoa; Chordata; Aves; Galliformes; Phasianidae
Description: long non-coding RNA NONGGAT001506
Source: RNAcentral
GAAGCUCCUCCAAGAACCUGCUUUUUCAGCCUCAAGACUUGGGACGUGAUCUGUGCACGCCGUGCUGAGCUGGUAAGGCAGAACCAGGAAGCUGCCAACUGGGACAUCACGUUGCUCUCUAAGCCAGGCACGUUUCUGACCCUGAGAUGGUGGAGAUCGGUGAUCCAACUGCACAGAAGGGACCUACAGCAUGUUCUUCUGAGACCUCACAAGCAUUUCCUCGUCCUUCUCAGGCUUUGCCCACACGGAAUGUGAACUUCAAUGUGUGUAUGUUCUGUAAAAUGUUUCUGUUUUCUCUUCCAAGCUAAGCACCAACGCUGUGAACUGGGAGCAAAGUCACCGCCACCUUCUGCCGAUUACCAGUGGCCAAGGCAGUGCCCAGACAUCGCAGUGCAGUCCCUGUCCCCAGCCUGAGCCAGGCACAGGCACAGAGAGGCUGUGGCACGCGGGAACUUGGCUCUCAGAGCUAUUCCCUCAAUCUGCACCAGCAUUUGUGAGCACAGCAUGCUCCCCAGCAGUCUGCCUCCCAUCCACGCAGCUGCCUCGCACACAGCCUGUGGAUGUCUGCAGCAGCCUGCCCAGGCUUGCAGCAUGGCACACUUGGCUGGC